This 1594-nucleotide ribosomal RNA is filed under the name Salmonella enterica. RNAcentral describes it as "partial 23S ribosomal RNA". It matches the Rfam family "Bacterial large subunit ribosomal RNA", at positions 153 to 1781 of the family's 2925-position model. The record is from RNAcentral. Lineage: Bacteria; Pseudomonadati; Pseudomonadota; Gammaproteobacteria; Enterobacterales; Enterobacteriaceae.
AUUAACUGAAUCCAUAGGUUAAUGAGGCGAACCGGGGGAACUGAAACAUCUAAGUACCCCGAGGAAAAGAAAUCAACCGAGAUUCCCCCAGUAGCGGCGAGCGAACGGGGAGGAGCCCAGAGCCUGAAUCAGCAUGUGUGUUAGUGGAAGCGUCUGGAAAGGCGCGCGAUACAGGGUGACAGCCCCGUACACAAAAGCGCAUGUGCUGUGAGCUCGAUGAGUAGGGCGGGACACGUGGUAUCCUGUCUGAAUAUGGGGGGACCAUCCUCCAAGGCUAAAUACUCCUGACUGACCGAUAGUGAACCAGUACCGUGAGGGAAAGGCGAAAAGAACCCCGGCGAGGGGAGUGAAAAAGAACCUGAAACCGUGUACGUACAAGCAGUGGGAGCACCCUUUGGGUGUGACUGCGUACCUUUUGUAUAAUGGGUCAGCGACUUAUAUUCUGUAGCAAGGUUAACCGAAUAGGGGAGCCGGAGGGAAACCGAGUCUUAACCGGGCGUUAAGUUGCAGGGUAUAGACCCGAAACCCGGUGAUCUAGCCAUGGGCAGGUUGAAGGUUGGGUAACACUAACUGGAGGACCGAACCGACUAAUGUUGAAAAAUUAGCGGAUGACCUGUGGCUGGGGGUGAAAGGCCAAUCAAACCGGGAGAUAGCUGGUUCUCCCCGAAAGCUAUUUAGGUAGCGCCUCGUGAAUUCAUCUCCGGGGGUAGAGCACUGUUUCGGCUAGGGGGCCAUCCCGGCUUACCAACCCGAUGCAAACUGCGAAUACCGGAGAAUGUUAUCACGGGAGACACACGGCGGGUGCUAACGUCCGUCGUGAAGAGGGAAACAACCCAGACCGCCAGCUAAGGUCCCAAAGUCAUGGUUAAGUGGGAAACGAUGUGGGAAGGCCCAGACAGCCAGGAUGUUGGCUUAGAAGCAGCCAUCAUUUAAAGAAAGCGUAAUAGCUCACUGGUCGAGUCGGCCUGCGCGGAAGAUGUAACGGGGCUAAACCAUGCACCGAAGCUGCGGCAGCGACACUGUGUGUUGUUGGGUAGGGGAGCGUUCUGUAAGCCUGUGAAGGUGUGUCGUGAGGCAUGCUGGAGGUAUCAGAAGUGCGAAUGCUGACAUAAGUAACGAUAAAGCGGGUGAAAAGCCCGCUCGCCGGAAGACCAAGGGUUCCUGUCCAACGUUAAUCGGGGCAGGGUGAGUCGACCCCUAAGGCGAGGCCGAAAGGCGUAGUCGAUGGGAAACGGGUUAAUAUUCCCGUACUUGGUGUUACUGCGAAGGGGGGACGGAGAAGGCUAUGUUGGCCGGGCGACGGUUGUCCCGGUUUAAGCGUGUAGGUGUGUGUUCCAGGUAAAUCCGGUUCACUUUAACACUGAGGCGUGACGACGAGGCACUACGGUGCUGAAGCAACAAAUGCCCUGCUUCCAGGAAAAGCCUCUAAGCAUCAGGUAACAUCAAAUCGUACCCCAAACCGACACAGGUGGUCAGGUAGAGAAUACCAAGGCGCUUGAGAGAACUCGGGUGAAGGAACUAGGCAAAAUGGUGCCGUAACUUCGGGAGAAGGCACGCUGACACGUAGGUGAAGUGAUUUACUCAUGGAGCUGAA